Long non-coding RNA from Mangifera indica (mango), 190 nucleotides. RefSeq lists it as uncharacterized. NCBI's taxonomy places the organism in Eukaryota, Viridiplantae, Streptophyta, Magnoliopsida, Sapindales, Anacardiaceae. The transcript is spliced from 2 exons. The record is from RefSeq and is a predicted model, not a curated record.
AGUUCUUGGAUGCUGCAGGAAAGAAGUAUAUCGCCAACUAAAUCUGCAGCAUCGACAGGAAAGCAAAGUAACCUGUCUCAAACUGUCCUCCAUAUUGCAGUUCCCUUGUUGCUUUUGCAAUAUUUGUAAUGUGCUUCAGGAAUUUACUUUUAGUAAAUUUCAUCUAUCUAUCUAGAUAAUGUUGAUGCGG